CUAAGCGUACACGGUGGAUGCCCUGGCAGUCAGAGGCGAUGAAGGACGUGCUAAUCUGCGAUAAGCGCCGGUAAGGUGAUAUGAACCGUUAUAACCGGCGAUUUCCGAAUGGGGAAACCCAGUGUGACUCGUCACACUAUCAUUAACUGAAUCCAUAGGUUAAUGAGGCGAACCGGGGGAACUGAAACAUCUAAGUACCCCGAGGAAAAGAAAUCAACCGAGAUUCACCCA
RNAcentral lists this ribosomal RNA (231 nucleotides) under Salmonella enterica subsp. enterica serovar Cerro. RNAcentral describes it as "partial 23S ribosomal RNA". It matches the Rfam family "Bacterial large subunit ribosomal RNA", at positions 12 to 242 of the family's 2925-position model. The record is from RNAcentral. Lineage: Bacteria; Pseudomonadati; Pseudomonadota; Gammaproteobacteria; Enterobacterales; Enterobacteriaceae.